RNAcentral lists this long non-coding RNA (1015 nucleotides) under Ursus maritimus (polar bear). Its description in RNAcentral is "lncRNA (ENSUMAG00000025414.1)". Lineage: Eukaryota; Metazoa; Chordata; Mammalia; Carnivora; Ursidae. The record is from RNAcentral.
CAGGGAUCUGCCUCCUGCCUCCUUCUCCUUGCUUCCCUCCUUCCUGCAGACACCCAGUUCUUCCAACAAGCGAGCUCACAUGUGUCUUGGUCCCCCAGCCAGGAGCCUCUCCUGCAGGGAAGCGUGGCCACCGGAUCCAGGGCAGGCCUGGGGCCAAGACCCAGACCGGGGGCGGGGGGGGCUCCUGUGGCCUUUGCUUCCUGUCCCCUCCACCAACUCCAGCAACGCAAUGGAGCCUCUGAUAUCCAGCAGCCCUGACCUCCAGCCCCUGACCCCUGAGCCCCAAGGUGGCUGCUGAGCACGAGAUGGGGGGAGCCUGGGUCGGGGGUUCCUGCUCCUGGUGCUCCGAUGACCUUCUUGCAGAGUUCGGAGGACACUCAAGGACCCCCACCUGUCAGGUGCCGCAUGUCCUGGGGAUGGAGAAACAGCUCAUUUCCUGUCCUCGCCUCUCCCUGGGCCCCUGAUGCCAGCGGCCGCUCGCUCCACCCCGAGCCGGGCAGGUGCACCCGCCUAGGUGGGACCAGCUCCGAGACAGAAACUUAAAUGCACUGGGAAUGUCUGCGUAACCAUGCACACAUGUGGACUUACUCCCAGGAAGGCACGGCACCAAAAGGAAAAUAAAGUCUGCCAUUUCAAAUGGGCAGCAGCUGACCCCGCAGAAGGCCAGCAUUUGUCAGCUUUUGCCAGGACACCCUGGACACGGCCUUUGUGCAGCCGGCUCGUGAGUUCCGUGUUCCGAGAGGUCACACGCAGCACUUUCUGCCCGUCUGGGACCUCCGGGGACUGUGGGAACCGAGGGCACAGGGGGCGGAGGCGGGCUCCCCUCCGGGCACACACUCAACGUCGGGGGCGAGAGGGGCCAGGGUCGCACUCCGUAACCAGGAAGGGGCUGUGCCUGGGGGCAGAGCUGCGUCCUUCCCCGGGGACCACACCCAGUGCAGCCUCAGCUGGGGCAUGUGGUGCGUUGGGGUGCCUGGGCCUGGCGGUCAGGCAUGGGCUCUGUCUUCAAUGUGAG